Molecule: long non-coding RNA, 216 nt
Filed under: Malus domestica (apple)
Lineage: Eukaryota; Viridiplantae; Streptophyta; Magnoliopsida; Rosales; Rosaceae
Description: long non-coding RNA (MDOM_LNC016767)
Source: RNAcentral
UUGAAGAAACAAUGGAGAUGAGUAAGAAUAAUUAAAUGGUUUAAUUAUUUGUGGCAAUGAUUAAUUAAUAUGUUAAUUAAUCAAACGAAUAAGUUCGUUAAAGACCUCGGGAUAGUUUUGGGCCUCAAGACCCAAUGGGCUUCAAACGUCAAGCCCAUUGACUUAAGUUGUAUGACAACUUAAUGACAAAUAAUUCACAAAGGCCUUAAAAGCCCA